GACGAACGCUGGCGGCGUGCCUAACACAUGCAAGUCGAACGGAACUUACCGAAUGAAGCUUUCGGGUGGAUUUUGGUAAGUUUAGUGGCGGACGGGUGAGUAACGCGUGAGUAACCUGCCUUCAAGAGGGGAAUAACGUUCUGAAAAGAACGCUAAUACCGCAUAACAUACGGAUGUCGCAUGGCAACCGUAUCAAAGAUUUUAUCGCUUGAGGAUGGACUCGCGUCCGAUUAGCCAGUUGGCGGGGUAACGGCCCACCAAAGCGACGAUCGGUAGCCGGACUGAGAGGUUGAACGGCCACAUUGGGACUGAGACACGGCCCGGACUCCUACGGGAGGCAGCAGUGGGGGAUAUUGCGCAAUGGGGGCAACCCUGACGCAGCAACGCCGCGUGAACGAUGAAGGUCUUCGGAUUGUAAAGUUCUUUUACUAAGGACGAAGAAGUGACGGUACUUAAUGAAUAAGCUCCGGCUAACUAC
Molecule: ribosomal RNA, 478 nt
Filed under: uncultured bacterium
Lineage: Bacteria
Description: bacterial SSU rRNA
Rfam family: Bacterial small subunit ribosomal RNA
Source: RNAcentral